Molecule: ribosomal RNA, 253 nt
Filed under: uncultured bacterium
Lineage: Bacteria
Description: partial 16S ribosomal RNA
Rfam family: Archaeal small subunit ribosomal RNA
Source: RNAcentral
UACCAGCACCCCGAGUGAUCGGGACGAUUAUUGGGCCUAAAGCAUCCGUAGCCGGUUUUACAAGUCCUCCGUUAAAUCCAGCUGCUUAACAGAUGGGCUGCGGAGGAUACUAUAAGACUAGGAGGCAGGAGAGGCAAGCGGUACUCAGUGGGUAGGGGUAAAAUCCGUUGAUCCAUUGAAGACCACCAGUGGCGAAGGCGGCUUGCCAGAAUGCGCUCGACGGUGAGGGAUGAAAGCUGGGGGAGCAAACCGG